GUACACAGAUGAGGACUAUCAGAAAGAAAUUGAACAUAUUGAGAAGGUUUUUACCCCAUUGGUUGAAAAAUGUAAGAAGUAUGGAAGGGCAAUGCGCAUUGGAACAAACCAUGGAAGUCUUUCAGAUCGUAUAAUGAGCUACUAUGGAGAUUCACCUAGGGGAAUGGUUGAAUCUGCAUUUGAGUUUGCAAGAAUAUGCCGAAAGUUGGACUUCCAUAAUUUUGUGUUUUCAAUGAAAGCAAGUAACCCAGUCAUCAUGGUCCAGGCAUAUCGUCUGCUUGUAGCAGAAAUGUAUGUUCAGGGCUGGGAUUAUCCAUUACAUUUGGGUGUCACUGAAGCUGGAGAAGGAGAAGAUGGACGCAUGAAAUCUGCAAUUGGCAUUGGGACUCUUCUUCAGGAUGGUUUGGGUGAUACAAUCAGGGU
RNAcentral lists this unclassified non-coding RNA (423 nucleotides) under Hevea brasiliensis (rubber tree). Lineage: Eukaryota; Viridiplantae; Streptophyta; Magnoliopsida; Malpighiales; Euphorbiaceae. The record is from RNAcentral.